RNAcentral lists this small nuclear RNA (317 nucleotides) under Erinaceus europaeus (western European hedgehog). RNAcentral's name for it is "7SK RNA (ENSEEUG00000019178.1)". It matches the Rfam family "7SK RNA". Rfam says of the family: 7SK was discovered as an abundant small nuclear RNA in the mid-70s but a possible function has only recently been suggested. Two independent studies have found that 7SK RNA binds the CDK9/cyclin T complex (known as elongation factor P-TEFb). P-TEFb activates transcription by phosphorylating the C-terminal domain of RNA polymerase II. The record is from RNAcentral. Lineage: Eukaryota; Metazoa; Chordata; Mammalia; Eulipotyphla; Erinaceidae.
GGAUGUGAGGGCGAUCUGGCUGCGACAUCUGUCACACCAUUGAUCGCCAGGGUUGAUUCUGCUGACCUGGGUGGCUAGGCGGGUGUCCCCUUCCUCCCUCACCGUUCCAUGUGCGUCCCUCCGGAAGCUGCGCGCUUGGUCAAAGAGGACAGCCUUCCUGGAAUAGCGACAGACCCGGUCUUCUGUCAAGGGUAUACCAGUAGCUGCGCUCCCCCACUACAACCUCCAAACAAGCUCUCAAGAAAUAUGAACAUAAAGUAAAAAUAUCACAGAAGGUAAAAAUGCUGAUUAAAUUUCAAGAUAUAUUACAUGUCUUA